Molecule: ribosomal RNA, 675 nt
Filed under: uncultured Bacteroidales bacterium
Lineage: Bacteria; Pseudomonadati; Bacteroidota; Bacteroidia; Bacteroidales
Description: bacterial SSU rRNA
Rfam family: Bacterial small subunit ribosomal RNA
Source: RNAcentral
GCAGCAUGGUCUUAGCUUGCUAAGACUGAUGGCGACCGGCGCACGGGUGAGUAACACGUAUCCAACCUGCCGUCUACUCUUGGACAGCCUUCUGAAAGGAAGAUUAAUACAAGAUGGCAUCAUGAGUCCGCAUGUUCACAUGAUUAAAGGUAUUCCGGUAGACGAUGGGGAUGCGUUCCAUUAGAUAGUAGGCGGGGUAACGGCCCACCUAGUCUUCGAUGGAUAGGGGUUCUGAGAGGAAGAUCCCCCACAUUGGAACUGAGACACGGUCCAAACUCCUACGGGAGGCAGCAGUGAGGAAUAUUGGUCAAUGGGCGAGAGCCUGAACCAGCCAAGUAGCGUGAAGGAUGACUGCCCUAUGGGUUGUAAACUUCUUUUAUAAAGGAAUAAAGUCGGGUAUGGAUACCCGUUUGCAUGUACUUUAUGAAUAAGGAUCGGCUAACUCCGUGCCAGCAGCCGCGGUAAUACGGAGGAUCCGAGCGUUAUCCGGAUUUAUUGGGUUUAAAGGGAGCGUAGAUGGAUGUUUAAGUCAGUUGUGAAAGUUUGCGGCUCAACCGUAAAAUUGCAGUUGAUACUGGAUAUCUUGAGUGCAGUUGAGGCAGGCGGAAUUCGUGGUGUAGCGGUGAAAUGCUUAGAUAUCACGAAGAACUCCGAUUGCGAAGGCAGCCUGCUAAG